GCCCGGGUAGCUCAAUUGGCCAGAGUUUUCGACUUUUACAAUGUGCAUCUCGACAACGCUUGUAAUCACUGCAACGUUCAGAGUGUCGUAAAGGUAUCGGACGGUUGGGGGUUCGAGCCCCCCCUCGGGCG
This 131-nucleotide transfer RNA is filed under the name Neonectria ditissima. It matches the Rfam family "tRNA". Rfam says of the family: Transfer RNA (tRNA) molecules are approximately 80 nucleotides in length. Lineage: Eukaryota; Fungi; Ascomycota; Sordariomycetes; Hypocreales; Nectriaceae. The record is from Rfam by way of RNAcentral.